GACGAACGCUGGCGGCGUGCUUAACACAUGCAAGUCGAACGAUGAAGAAAAGAAUUGAAGCUUCGGCAGAAAUUCAUUUCGGAUUAGUGGCAGACGGGUGAGUAACGCGUGAGCAACCUACCUCUUACAAAGGGAUAGCCUCGGGAAACCGGGAUUAAUACCAUAUAACAUUGCGACGAAGCAUUUCGAUGCAAUCAAAGCUACGGCGGUAAGAGAUGGGCUCGCGUCCCAUUAACCAGAUGGUGAGGUAACGGCUCACCAUAGUAACGUUGGGUAACCGGCCUGAGAGGGUGAACGGUCACACUGGAACUGAGACACGGUCCAGACUCCUACGGGAGGCAGCAGUGGGGAAUAUUGCACAAUGGAGGGAACUCUGAUGCAGCGACGCCGCGUGAGUGAUGAAGGAAUUCGUUUCGUAAAACUCUGUUAUAUGGGAAGAAAAGGACUGUACCAUAGGAGAAAGCUCCGGCUAAAUACGUG
Molecule: ribosomal RNA, 480 nt
Filed under: uncultured bacterium
Lineage: Bacteria
Description: partial 16S ribosomal RNA
Rfam family: Bacterial small subunit ribosomal RNA
Source: RNAcentral